RNAcentral lists this ribosomal RNA (446 nucleotides) under uncultured bacterium. RNAcentral describes it as "partial 16S ribosomal RNA". It matches the Rfam family "Bacterial small subunit ribosomal RNA", at positions 338 to 795 of the family's 1533-position model. The record is from RNAcentral.
CCUACGGGAGGCUGCAGUCGAGAAUCAUUCACAAUGGGGGAAACCCUGAUGGUGCGACGCCGCGUGGGGGAAUGAAGGUCUUCGGAUUGUAAACCCCUGUCAUGUGGGAGCAAAUUAAAAAGAUAGUACCACAAGAGGAAGAGACGGCUAACUCUGUGCCAGCAGCCGCGGUAAUACAGAGGUCUCAAGCGUUGUUCGGAAACACUGGGCGUAAAGCGUGCGUAGGCUGUUUCGUAAGUCGUGUGUGAAAGGCGCGGGCUCAACCCGCGGACGGCAUAUGAUACUGCGAGACUAGAGUAAGGGAGGGGGAACCGGAAUUCUCGGUGUAGCAGUGAAAUGCGUAGAUAUCGAGAGGAACACUCGUGGCGAAGGCGGGUUCCUGGACAUUAACUGACGCUGAGGCACGAAGGCCAGGGGAGCGAAAGGGAUUAGAUACCCUAGUAGUC